AGGCCUGGAUAGAGAGGCAGGGUCUGAUCCGCAGCCUCCGUGGCAGCUGUUGAUCAGCCGUUGCCUCUCACUUUCUCUCCA
Myotis lucifugus (little brown bat) is the source of this 81-nucleotide non-coding RNA. The record is from Rfam. NCBI's taxonomy places the organism in Eukaryota, Metazoa, Chordata, Mammalia, Chiroptera, Vespertilionidae.